This 441-nucleotide ribosomal RNA is filed under the name uncultured soil bacterium. RNAcentral describes it as "bacterial SSU rRNA". It matches the Rfam family "Bacterial small subunit ribosomal RNA", at positions 26 to 518 of the family's 1533-position model. The record is from RNAcentral.
AGAGCGAACGCUGGCGGCAGGCCUAACACAUGCAAGUCGAACGAUCCUUCGGGGUAGUGGCGGACGGGUGAGUAACACGUGGGAACGUGCCCUUUGGUUCGGAAUAACUCAGGGAAACUUGAGCUAAUACCGGAUGAGCCCUUCGGGGGAAAGAUUUAUCGCCAUUGGAGCGGCCCGCGUUGGAUUAGCUAGUUGGUGGGGUAAAGGCCCACCAAGGCUACGAUCCAUAGCUGGUCUGAGAGGAUGAUCAGCCACACUGGGACUGAGACACGGCCCAGACUCCUACGGGAGGCGGCAGUGGGGAAUCUUGCGCAAUGGGCGAAAGCCUGACGCAGCCAUGCCGCGUGAAUGAUGAAGGUCUUAGGAUUGUAAAAUUCUUUCACCGGGACGAUAAUGACGGUACCCGGAGAAGAAGCCCGGCUAACUCGUGCCAGCAGCCGC